Molecule: small RNA, 65 nt
Filed under: Sporosarcina sp. HYO08
Lineage: Bacteria; Bacillati; Bacillota; Bacilli; Caryophanales; Caryophanaceae
Description: Bacillaceae-1 RNA
Rfam family: Bacillaceae-1 RNA
Source: Rfam by way of RNAcentral
ACUAGGGGAGCGCAGGCCAAGGACGCCAAGUCCUGAAAGUGCCUGCAUGACCAACAUCCUGUUGG